This 151-nucleotide transfer RNA is filed under the name Halanaeroarchaeum sulfurireducens. It matches the Rfam family "tRNA". Rfam says of the family: Transfer RNA (tRNA) molecules are approximately 80 nucleotides in length. The record is from Rfam by way of RNAcentral. Lineage: Archaea; Methanobacteriati; Methanobacteriota; Halobacteria; Halobacteriales; Halobacteriaceae.
GCCCGGGUGGCUUAGCUGGUCAUAGCGCCGCACUCAUAGGGUUCAGAGAAUCGGUGCGGCCGCCAUUUGGCGGCUCCCAUGUCCGAGAGGCGCGCCCGAGCCUCGAACCUGGGACAUGCGGAGAUCGAGGGUUCAAAACCCUCCCCGGGCA